UACGAGGGGGGCAAGCGUUGUUCGGAAUUAUUGGGCGUAAAGGGAGCGUAGGCGGUUCGGUAAGUCACUUGUGAAAUCUCUGGGCUCAACUCAGAGUCUGCAAGCGAAACUGCCGGGCUGGAGUAUGGGAGAGGUGAGUGGAAUUCCUGGUGUAGCGGUGAAAUGCGUAGAUAUCGGGAAGAACACCAAUGGCGAAGGCAGCUCGCUGGGACGGUACUGACGCUGAGACGCGAAAGCGUGGGGAGCAAACAGG
This 253-nucleotide ribosomal RNA is filed under the name uncultured prokaryote. Its description in RNAcentral is "partial 16S ribosomal RNA". It matches the Rfam family "Bacterial small subunit ribosomal RNA", at positions 524 to 776 of the family's 1533-position model. The record is from RNAcentral.